AUGUAACAUCAGGUACUGCAGAGUACAGGCCAGGCUAGAGAUGUGCACCUAAAUGUAACAUCAGGUAGUACAGAAGACAUGCCAGGCUAGGGAUGUGCACCUAAAUGUAACAUCAGGUACUACAGAGUACAGGCCAGGCUAGAGAUGUGCACCUAAAUGUAACAUCAGGUAGAACAGAGUACAGGCCAGGCUAGAGAUGUGCACCUAAAUGUAACAUCAGGUAGUACAGAAGACAGGCCAGGCUAGAGAUGUGCACCUAAAUGUAACAUCAGGUAGAACAGAGUACAGGCCAGGCUAGUGAUGUGCACCUAAAUGUAACAUCAGGUAGAACAGGGUACAGGCCAGGCUAGAGAUGUGCACCUAAAUGUAACAUCAGGUAGAUGAUGCAAAGCCUUGAUUGUUAUGUUUCCCAAGGUUUCCUGGCUGUUCCUAGCUGCCUUUUUGCAGGAAAACAUAAUGAUUUAAAUGAAUGAAUGAAUGUAAUUCAUCCUCCUACACAUCUGCUUGGGGCUUCCAACUCAGGGAAGUGAAUCUAAUCACUCUGUUUUAUCACUGACAGGUGAAAUAUCGGCUUAUGUUUAUAGAUAUUUGACAAAACACACAAUAAAUAUGAUUUUAGUUAUUUGUGCAUUAAUACAAACUUGUUUGUA
This is a long non-coding RNA of Branchiostoma floridae (Florida lancelet), 650 nucleotides long. RefSeq lists it as uncharacterized. The transcript has 2 exons. The record is from RefSeq and is a predicted model, not a curated record. NCBI's taxonomy places the organism in Eukaryota, Metazoa, Chordata, Leptocardii, Amphioxiformes, Branchiostomatidae.